Molecule: long non-coding RNA, 685 nt
Filed under: Sarcophilus harrisii (Tasmanian devil)
Lineage: Eukaryota; Metazoa; Chordata; Mammalia; Dasyuromorphia; Dasyuridae
Description: lncRNA (ENSSHAG00000029173.1)
Source: RNAcentral
UGGAGGGGUGGAGUGAGAUGGGAAAAUAGAUUGAAAUUGAAAAAUUAAAAUAAAGACAAUUCAUAAUCUAAUAAUUUUGGAGCUUGCCAUAGUAGAUUUUAGUGUUCUGAUGUCAUUUGAGUCACAUUUUCAUUCCAUCUAUAUGGUUGUUCUAGACUAGGGGUGAAGCUGAGGAAGAUUGGUAUGGAAAAUAAACAAACAAAAAAAGAUCGACCCCAAAUCAUCUUUGUUCUGGGCUUCAUUCAGACAUGACAGCAUCUGACAACGGGAUGAGCAAAUCGAUUCCUCAUUGCUGAGAAAGUAAGCCUAAUUCUGACAAGGAUAAUGAGAGAACUCUUAACUGUCAAAAAGAUGGACUCCAGGAUUUAGUGGAAAGUUCAGUGGACUACAGGAAACCAACAAACUAUGCUGUAAAAAUACAGAAUCUGUGUGUGUAUCAACCUCCUCAUCUCCAAAUGACCUGCUUUGGGUCAAAUCACUUCUAAGUUUCCUUUUGCUUUUAAAAGUCUUUUAAAACUUAAAAAAAAAAAAAAGUCUUUAAAAAAAAAAAUUCAAAAAAUUAUGGGAAGCUUUGUCUUGUACUGGAGCUCUGACCAUAAAGCUGAGCUACUUGCCUACAGCUAAGCCUUUUCUACUAUGUCAUUACAACCACAUUAAGGUUUGUGCCCACUAGCAUUAGACAAAC